CAAUAGCGUAUAUUUAAGUUGUUGCAGUUAAAAAGCUCGUAGUUGGAUUUCGGGUGGGACGCAGCGGUCUCGCAUUGCGUUUGUACUGCUGCAGCCCUCCUUCUUGCCGGGGGCGGCCUCUCGGACUUCACUGUCUGGGGGUCAGAAUCGGCGAUGUUACUUUGAGUAAAUUAGAGUGUUCAAAGCAAGCUUACGCUCUGAAUAUAAUAGCAUGGGAUAACACGACAGGACUCUGGCCUAUCGUGUUGGUCUAUAGGACCAGAGUAAUGAUUAAGAGGGACAGUCGGGGGCAUUCGUAUUCCGUUGUCAGAGGCGAAAUUCUUGGAUUUACGGAAGACGAACAUCUGCGAAAGCAUUUGCCAAGGAUGUUUUCAUUGA
RNAcentral lists this ribosomal RNA (378 nucleotides) under uncultured eukaryote. Its description in RNAcentral is "partial 18S ribosomal RNA". It matches the Rfam family "Eukaryotic small subunit ribosomal RNA", at positions 592 to 976 of the family's 1831-position model. The record is from RNAcentral.